RNAcentral lists this ribosomal RNA (253 nucleotides) under uncultured bacterium. Its description in RNAcentral is "partial 16S ribosomal RNA". It matches the Rfam family "Bacterial small subunit ribosomal RNA", at positions 524 to 776 of the family's 1533-position model. The record is from RNAcentral.
UACGUAGGGUGCGAGCGUUAAUCGGAAUUACUGGGCGUAAAGCGUGCGCAGGCGGUUUUGUAAGCCAGAUGUGAAGUCCCCGGGCUUAACCUGGGAAUGGCAUUUGGGACUGCAAGGCUGGAGUGCGGCAGAGGAGACUGGAAUUCCUGGUGUAGCAGUGAAAUGCGUAGAUAUCAGGAGGAACACCGAUGGCGAAGGCAGGUCUCUGGGCUGACACUGACGCUCAUGCACGAAAGCGUGGGGAGCAAACAGG